This 987-nucleotide ribosomal RNA is filed under the name Triticum aestivum (bread wheat). RNAcentral describes it as "partial small subunit ribosomal RNA". Lineage: Eukaryota; Viridiplantae; Streptophyta; Magnoliopsida; Poales; Poaceae. The record is from RNAcentral.
AUGGUUGUUCUCGUGGUAGCGACGGCGUCCGACCCGGCGUCCAUCGGCCCCGCCGCCGCGUUCCUGGCUAUGCCUGGCUGGUCCCCCGGCCCGCCCAUCCCGGAGGGGAUGGAGAGCUUUACAAAUGGGAAUGUUAGGUUAUUGAAGCAUGAACGCAGCAUUGUUGCAGAGGAUGAUCUUGACCGUCGGUGGCAGGAAGCCACUGGAGAGGCUGUUUCCGAGGUCAUAUUCCUCAGCAAACACACUGCAGUCUCCAACCGCCCUGCACUCACUGUCCAUCCAAUCGGUGUGCCACAUCUGAGGGAGGAUGAGACCCCCCCUCAAGGUGGGAGGCCUGGAUGGGCAGCGGUGCCAAACCCUCGAAUUGGCCCAUGGUUCCGGUUGAUGCAAAAGGUUGCUGCAGACCAAGGUCUUGUUCCAGAGUUUGAGAUUACACUUGAAGCUACUCACCAUGGACCACUUACCAGUACACCCACGAUGUUUGUUGAGAUAGGAAGUACACAAGAAUACUGGGGUAGACAAGAUGCUGCGCAGGCCAUUGCUCUAGUUCUAUGGAAAGGUCUUGGUCUUGAGGAAGGAAAUGCUGUUGGAACUUGGCUGGGGAGUGGUGAAAAGGUUCUACUAGGUAUCGGUGGUGGUCACUACGCCCCUCGUCAUACGGAUAUUGUCAUCAAAGAUGGUGUCUGGGUGGGUCAUCUCCUGUCUGGUUACUCUUUGCCAAUGGACGCUCCGCCUCAAGUAAAUGGAAAGAGUUCUGGUGAGGUUGGUGGGAUGUGGAAGCAUUCCAUCAAAGUUUCGUAUGAAGCCACGAAGGCAGGAUUUCCUGGUGGUAAAGUUAUAGCACAUCUUGAUCAGAAGAGCUUCAAGGGCUGGCAAAAGAACGCCAUCACGAGCUAUUUGCAGGAGCAAAAUAUCAGGAUAGGAAAACCCAACGAUUUCCUCUGCACAAAAACUUGGCCGUGCCCACAAGGCAAGCCGUCGAAGUGA